This 333-nucleotide ribosomal RNA is filed under the name Heterometrus laoticus. RNAcentral describes it as "partial 12S ribosomal RNA". The record is from RNAcentral. Lineage: Eukaryota; Metazoa; Arthropoda; Arachnida; Scorpiones; Scorpionidae.
UAAAAAUAUUAAAAAUUAGGUAAUAACGGAGUUUCUGAAACCUAAAGGACUUGGCGGUAUUUUAAAUAAUUGGAGGAACUUGUUGUUUAAUUGAAGUUACACAACAUAUCUUUCCUUAUUUUUGCUUGUAUAUCAUUGUUUUAAGAUAACAUUUUCUAAUAUAGUCUAAAUCAAGUUUGUUCAAAAAAUCAAAUCAAGGCGCAGCAUAAUAAGGUUAUAAUGAGUUACAAUGAAAUUUAUUCAAAACGGAAAUAAAAAGUAAAAUAUAUUGAAGGUGGAUUCAAAAAUAAUAAAAAAUCAAAAAGUUUUUAUGAAUAAUAAUUUAAAAUAUGC